Molecule: ribosomal RNA, 446 nt
Filed under: uncultured bacterium
Lineage: Bacteria
Description: partial 16S ribosomal RNA
Rfam family: Bacterial small subunit ribosomal RNA
Source: RNAcentral
GUGAGGAAUAUUGGUCAAUGGAGGCAACUCUGAACCAGCCAUGCCGCGUGCAGGAAGACGGUCCUAUGGAUUGUAAACUGCUUUUAUUUAGGAAUAAACCCCCGGUCGUGCACCGGGGCUGAAUGUACUAAAAGAAUAAGCACCGGCUAACUCCGUGCCAGCAGCCGCGGUAAUACGGAGGGUGCAAGCGUUAUCCGGAAUCAUUGGGUUUAAAGGGUCCGCAGGCGGGUAAAUAAGUCAGAGGUGAAAUCCGGCAGCUCAACUGUCGCACUGCCUUUGAUACUGUUUAUCUUGAAUUUUAGUGGAGUGGGCGGAAUAUGUCAUGUAGCGGUGAAAUGCUUAGAUAUGACGUGGAACACCGAUAGCGAAGGCAGCUCACUAACUAUGAAUUGACGCUCAUGGACGAAAGCGUGGGUAGCAAACAGGAUUAGAAACCCCUGUAGUCC